AGGGUGACCAGCUACUCUGGUUUGCCUGGGACUGAAAUGUUUCCUGGAAUAAAAGCCUUUCAGUGCUGAAACUUGGACAGCC
RNAcentral lists this microRNA precursor (82 nucleotides) under Chlorocebus sabaeus (green monkey). RNAcentral's name for it is "miRNA (ENSCSAG00000027104.1)". The record is from RNAcentral. Lineage: Eukaryota; Metazoa; Chordata; Mammalia; Primates; Cercopithecidae.